CUUCAGUUAAGAUUCUGGGCCAUGGUUAGGAAACUUAUCCCCCAUUCCCAGAUUAUGGAGGAAUUCACCUACAUUUUCUUCUGGGACAUAUUUCUACUUUGGAUCCUGCCAAAAUUACAUGUUAGUCAUUUCAAUGUAGAAAAAAUAUUCAGGUUAACAACUAGUGUUUGUUUAAAUUUUGUUUUUAGUCAUAUAAAGGCUACAAUUAAAUUCUGAUGGCAAAAGAUGCCUUUUAAUAACCAUGCAAGAAAGGAGAAAAAAAUUUAAAAAAUCGAAUCUCAGGGAUAUGAUAGAUAAAAUAAAACAUCCAAACUUAAGACUCAUUGGUGUCCCAGAAGGGGAAGA
This is a long non-coding RNA of Choloepus didactylus (southern two-toed sloth), 345 nucleotides long. RefSeq lists it as uncharacterized. The transcript is spliced from 3 exons. NCBI's taxonomy places the organism in Eukaryota, Metazoa, Chordata, Mammalia, Pilosa, Megalonychidae. The record is from RefSeq and is a predicted model, not a curated record.